UAAUACGUAGGGGGCAAGCGUUGUCCGGAAUUAUUGGGCGUAAAGCGCACGCAGGCGGUUUUUUAAGUCCGAUGUUUAAGCCCGGGGCUCAACCCCGGUUCGCAUGGGAAACUGGAAGACUUGAGUGCAGGAGAGGAAAGCGGAAUUCCACGUGUAGCGGUGAAAUGCGUAGAGAUGUGGAGGAACACCAGUGGCGAAGGCGGCUUUCUGGACUGUAACUGACGCUGAGGCGCGAAAGCGUGGGGAGCAAACAGGA
This 256-nucleotide ribosomal RNA is filed under the name uncultured prokaryote. RNAcentral describes it as "partial 16S ribosomal RNA". It matches the Rfam family "Bacterial small subunit ribosomal RNA", at positions 521 to 777 of the family's 1533-position model. The record is from RNAcentral.